CCUACGGGAUGCAGCAGUGGGGGAUAUUGCACACUGGGGGGAACCCUGCUGCAGCGACGCCGCGUGGGUGAAGAAGCGCCUAGGCGCGUAAAGCCCUGUCAGCAGGGAAGAAAAUGACGGUACCUGAAGAAGAAGCCCCGGCUAACUACGUGCCAGCAGCCGCGGUAAUACGUAGGGGGCAAGCGUUAUCCGGAUUUACUGGGUGUAACGGGGGCGCAGACGGCGAUGCAAGCCAGGAGUGAACGCCCGGGGCCCAACCCCGGGACUGCGCUUGGAACUGCGUGGCUGGAGUGCAGGAGGGGCAGGCGGAAUUCCUGGUGUAGCGGUGAAAUGCGUAGAUAUCAGGAGGAACACCGGUGGCGAAGGCGGACUGCUGGACUGCAACUGACGUUGAGGCACGAAAGCGUGGGGAGCAAACAGGAUUAGAUACCCGGGUAGUC
RNAcentral lists this ribosomal RNA (440 nucleotides) under uncultured bacterium. RNAcentral's name for it is "partial 16S ribosomal RNA". It matches the Rfam family "Bacterial small subunit ribosomal RNA", at positions 338 to 795 of the family's 1533-position model. The record is from RNAcentral.